AUAAUGAUCAGAACACAAAUGUUAAUUUACCUACUUAUUAUAGAUUCUAGCGCUAUUUAUAUGUAUUUAUGCAAAUUUUAUUAAGAUUCGGUACCGGUUAAUUCCUGUGUACAUAAAGGCACCAUCUAUUUUUGUUUAUUGUUACUUAAUCGUUGAUAGAAUAUUAAAUUGCAUUAGAGACGGUAUAUAAACAAUGCACCACAAGACGGAACUCAUCAGAUACAAUUCACCUUUGUAUACCACAAUUCAGCAAAAUGUUCAAAUUGCUCGCCCUUUUUGUAAUUUUGGCUAUCGCCACCGUUUCCUUGGCAUUGCCUAGACCAGGACCAAAUCCUCAAUUGUACUACGGUGCUUCCCCGUACUAUGCAGGUUAUGCCUACAGCCCUUACAGCGCUCUUGGAUACGGUGGAUACUACUAUUGAUGAAGACUUAUUCCCUAGGACUGGACGAUUUUUAUGCAUUACUAUGUUGAGAUUAAGGAUUUAAUAUACUAGUUUUAUGAUAA
This is a long non-coding RNA of Aethina tumida (small hive beetle), 505 nucleotides long. RefSeq lists it as uncharacterized. Lineage: Eukaryota; Metazoa; Arthropoda; Insecta; Coleoptera; Nitidulidae. The transcript is spliced from 2 exons. The record is from RefSeq and is a predicted model, not a curated record.